GACGAACGCUGGCGGCGUGCUUAACACAUGCAAGUCGAACGCUGAAGCUCAGCUUUUGUUGGGUGGAUGAGUGGCGAACGGGUGAGUAACACGUGAGUAACCUGCCCCCUUCUUUGGGAUAACGCCCGGAAACGGGUGCUAAUACUGGAUAUUCACUGGUCUUCGCAUGGGGGUUGGUGGAAAGGGUUUUUCUGGUGGGGGAUGGGCUCGCGGCCUAUCAGCUUGUUGGUGGGGUGAUGGCCUACCAAGGCUUUGACGGGUAGCCGGCCUGAGAGGGUGACCGGGCACAUUGGGACUGAGAUACGGCCCAGAAUGCUACGGGAGGCAGCAGGGGGGAAUAUUGCACAAUGGGGGAAAGCCUGAUGCAGCGACGCCGCGUGAGGGAUGGAGGCCUUCGGGUUGUGAACCUCUUUCGCUCAUGGUCAAGCCGCAACAAUGGUUGUGGUGAGGGUAGUGGGUAAAGAAGCGCCGGCUAACUACGUG
RNAcentral lists this ribosomal RNA (483 nucleotides) under uncultured bacterium. RNAcentral's name for it is "partial 16S ribosomal RNA". It matches the Rfam family "Bacterial small subunit ribosomal RNA", at positions 28 to 507 of the family's 1533-position model. The record is from RNAcentral.